UACGGAGGGGGCGAGCGUUGUUCGGAAUUACUGGGCGUAAAGGGCGCGUAGGCGGCGCGACACGUCAGGGGUGAAAGGCCCGGGCUCAACCUGGGAAUUGCCUUUGAAACUGUUGUGCUAGAGACCGGGAGAGGAUGGCGGAAUUCCCAGUGUAGAGGUGAAAUUCGUAGAUAUUGGGAAGAACACCGGUGGCGAAGGCGGCCAUCUGGACCGGAUCUGACGCUGAGGCGCGAAAGCGUGGGGAGCAAACAGG
Molecule: ribosomal RNA, 253 nt
Filed under: uncultured bacterium
Lineage: Bacteria
Description: partial 16S ribosomal RNA
Rfam family: Bacterial small subunit ribosomal RNA
Source: RNAcentral